RNAcentral lists this small RNA (97 nucleotides) under Otolemur garnettii (small-eared galago). RNAcentral's name for it is "Y RNA (ENSOGAG00000019132.1)". The record is from RNAcentral. Lineage: Eukaryota; Metazoa; Chordata; Mammalia; Primates; Galagidae.
GACUGGUCAAGUGCAGUGGUGUUCAAACUAAUUGACCACAACCAGUUACAAAUUUCUUUCUCUUCCUUCUCUAUCCCUGCUGCUUCACUAGGCUUAA